RNAcentral lists this ribosomal RNA (262 nucleotides) under uncultured prokaryote. RNAcentral describes it as "partial 16S ribosomal RNA". It matches the Rfam family "Bacterial small subunit ribosomal RNA", at positions 524 to 784 of the family's 1533-position model. The record is from RNAcentral.
UACGUAGGUGGCAAGCGUUAUCCGGAAUUAUUGGGCGUAAAGAGCGCGCAGGUGGUUGAUUAAGUCUGAUGUGAAAGCCCACGGCUUAACCGUGGAGGGUCAUUGGAAACUGGUCGACUUGAGUGCAGAAGAGGGAAGUGGAAUUCCAUGUGUAGCGGUGAAAUGCGUAGAUAUAUGGAGGAACACCAGUGGCGAAGGCGACUUUCUGGUCUGUAACUGACGCUGAGGCUCGAAAGCAUGGGGAGGCAAACAGGAUUAGAUA